RNAcentral lists this ribosomal RNA (269 nucleotides) under uncultured prokaryote. RNAcentral's name for it is "partial 16S ribosomal RNA". It matches the Rfam family "Bacterial small subunit ribosomal RNA", at positions 524 to 792 of the family's 1533-position model. The record is from RNAcentral.
UACGGAGGAUCCGAGCGUUAUCCGGAUUUAUUGGGUUUAAAGGGUGCGCAGGCGGGAGAUUAAGUCGGCGGUGAAAUUUUGCAGCUCAACUGUAAAAGUGCCUUCGAAACUGGUUUCCUUGAGUGUAGAUGAAGUAGGCGGAAUUUGUGGUGUAGCGGUGAAAUGCAUAGAUAUCACGAGGAACUCCGAUUGCGCAAGCAGCUUACUAGGCCAUAACUGACGCUCAGGCACGAAGGCGUGGGGAUCAAACAGGAUUAGAUACCCGUGUA